RNAcentral lists this ribosomal RNA (315 nucleotides) under Candidatus Omnitrophota bacterium. RNAcentral describes it as "partial 23S ribosomal RNA". It matches the Rfam family "Bacterial large subunit ribosomal RNA", at positions 2612 to 2925 of the family's 2925-position model. The record is from RNAcentral. Lineage: Bacteria; Pseudomonadati; Candidatus Omnitrophota.
CAGAACGUCGUAAGACAGUUCGGUCUCUAUCUAUUACACGCGCAGGAUGUCUGCGGAGAUAUGUCCCUAGUACGAGAGGACCGGGAUAUACGAACCAAUGGUGUUCCAGUUGUCGCGCCAGCGGCAGUUGCUGGGUAGCUAAGUUCGGAAAGGAUAAGCGCUGAAUGCAUAUAAGCGCGAAGCCUCCUCCAAGAUUAGACAUCCCCUCCUUCGGGAGAUAAGGUACCUUGUAGAUGACGAGGUUGAUAGGCCGGGGGUGUAAGGCCCGUAAGGGUUUUAGCUGACCGGUACUAAUCUACCGAACGGCUUGACCAC